This 253-nucleotide ribosomal RNA is filed under the name uncultured bacterium. RNAcentral describes it as "partial 16S ribosomal RNA". It matches the Rfam family "Bacterial small subunit ribosomal RNA", at positions 524 to 776 of the family's 1533-position model. The record is from RNAcentral.
UACAGAGGUGGCAAGCGUUGUUCGGAAUUACUGGGCGUAAAGGGCGCGUAGGCGGUCCGAUAAGUCCCGUGUGAAAUCCCUCGGCUCAACUGAGGAACCGCACGGGAAACUGCCGGGCUUGAGUUCGGGAGAGGGAAGCGGAAUUCCGGGUGUAGCAGUGAAAUGCGUAGAUAUCCGGAGGAACACCGGUGGCGAAGGCGGCUUCCUGGACCGACACUGACGCUGAGGCGCGAAAGCUAGGGGAGCAAACGGG